ACAAUAUCAUAUUAGGUAGCGAAGUCCAAAAGUCUGAGAAACUAAUGAAAAUACUUCUACUUUGCUGAUACUUUGGCAGCUAAAGAGUUAACAUGCAAGAAAGAAAGGUCUGGAACAACAUGAGGCUAAGUACAUGGUGCUGUCAACUUUUAGGGUGAUUAAAGGCGCAGUAUGUAAGUUUCGCCUCUAGAAGUCGCAUAUUCCUUGACGCUGUGAAGGAGCAUGGAGUGAUGGAGUGACAUCUUCACCUCCACUGCCGAUGGAAAUCAAUCCGACGGGACUAACAAAUCAUGUUCAUGGUGGAUGAGAAGAUGGCGCCCGCAGCUCAAUCAUCCAUCCUUUUACCAAACCACUGGUCCAAUGUGUCAUACAGAAUAGAUUGGUACAGCCUCCCCUAGAGGUGAGUGGAUAGUCCGUUCCCGAUUUGAAAUGCUUCAAUUGCGCCAUCUAGAGGAAAAUGUGGGGCAGCGCAUGAUGGAUUUGUCUUCUCAGGUGUGCUGAUAUGGUUCAUUUGUAGAGCAUUUAAAAACAUUAAAUGGUCUUUAUUAUUUACUGUGAAUAUGUGCGGGUUAGAUUCAUAUCCAUAUCAAUUUCCUUCCACUGCGAGGACCAUAUUUUCCCAUUACUAUAAUAGAGUAUUUACUUAAAUGAUACAGUGCAAUGAUUUAUGAGACUACUAGGUGUCGCUGUUUACAUACACUAAAAAAAAUACUAAUUAAAAAAAAACUGGCCAGGUAUUUGCAUGUAAAUCUAAUCGAAAUGCUCUGGCAAACUUGACUUAUUUUUUUUAUUGACUCAGAAACUUAUGUCAGUAAUAAAACACUCACACAUACAUUUCCCAUCACACUUUCACACACAAAACCAGGUCGAAAAAUCAUAAGCUUAUCCUUAUCAUAAGCUGUACAUUUGUUUCAUAUCUCAGGUUCAAAUGAUUAAUCAUACAAAUUGUACUUUAAAAUCAAUUAUAAUAUUAAUUAUAAUUUAACAUACAAAUUUAACACAAAGUUUAAAACAAAGAUACUCUAUACCCUAAAAAUAAUAAUAAAUGUGAACAAAAUGAAGUUAGGGUGUUUUUGGAACAAAAACUCAAAAUGCUGAUCUAAUGUAAUUUGAAACAACAACAAAUAAAAUUAAAUGAGAAAAAUGCAAUCUUUGACUUUUGGACCCCACUGAAUAAAUUAAACUAAAUUUUGUGUUUUGCAAUAUUUCUUUUGUUUCUUUUCAAAUAUGAGAACACAAAUGAAUGUAUUUUUUACAGAGAAAUAAUUUGAAGCCUGCAGGGCUAGGUCUCUUGAUACAAGUGAAAUGUCUCUUUGUAUUAUGUUAAAACAAAUGAAAUCUCUCUUCAAGCCAGUGUUUUGCUGCAGUACAGAUGCUCCAUCUUGUUCUCACCCACGGCUCUGCUAAUUCAGCAAGAAAAGAAAAAAAACUGUGAUAUGCUAUUUUUAUCACUCUCAUGGAAGUUUCACAGAGGAACAGAACUCUGUACAAAAUGUUUGAAACUACUUGAGGAACUGAACAGAAAGUGAGGCCAGCAGGGGUUAUAUAUAGCUGCACAGGUACACUAUGCCGUCAUCAAAAAGGAGGACAAUACGAAGGACACAAAAAGAUCUUCUUUAAUCCAAAAUGAAGGGAGAAUGAGAGCAGUGUUUGUUCAGAAGGAGAGUGUUGUGUAAACAACAAGCUGGGAUUCUGACAGCUGGCGUGAACCAGAGGAACUGAUACCUGACAACUCUCUCUCUUUCUCUUUAAUCUCAGCGAUACAGUUCACCCAACUGAAAGGUGACUAAAUACAGACAUUUUGCACUACUCCUACCCACAAAAACAAAAAAAAAAAAAAAAAAACAGUUUAACUAUUUGCAUCUAUUGAUUUUAAUUAAAUAAUUAAAAUGCAUUUAUUCAAAUAGUUUAGAAUCAUCAUGAAUCUGGUUAUUGUGUAUUUAAAACAAAUUCAGUUUAUUACAACUAUUACAAAAAUAUUUUCUGUUUCUUACCAUUUCAUUUAUGUAUCAUGACUGACAAAUAUGCAUCAGAUGAAGAAGUUUAUUAGUUUGUUUGUUAAAUAAACAAUGUGUAAUCCAAAUGGAUGGAAAUUUUACAUACAUUUUUAAUUUAGGCCUAUAUAUGUCAGGUUUAUGUUCCAUUCUAUGGAUUCUUAUUUUGAUAUUUUGUUCUACUUCCUUUGGUUCCUGUUUCCCUGCUCUGUUUAGUUUCAGUUUCCUUGGUUACUGAUUAUGUCCUUGUUUGUUACUAUAGUUACGUAUUAGUUUCACUUGUGUCUAGUUUGGUUUCCUCUGUUCUAAGCCUGUAAUUGACCCUUUGCCAGGAGUUUGAUUGACAGCCGAUCUAACCAAUCAUAACGCAGAAUCCGCCAUUUUGUCCGACAAAGCAGUUGGGGGAGUUAGCAGAUUAACAUAGGUGGACUUGAACUUGAAAAAUGGUAUGUGCUGAUAUCUUUCCGCGAUUGAAACAACAUACCUUAUGAUGUUCAUUCAUGUUUAUUUAAUGCUAUAAAUCAACUAGUAGGAAGAGAUGAUCGGUUCAUGAGCCGCUUGAACUGAGGCACUACAGCGAUCUGUCACGACACAUUAAAGAGCCA
This is a long non-coding RNA of Megalobrama amblycephala (Wuchang bream), 2599 nucleotides long. RefSeq lists it as uncharacterized. The record is from RefSeq and is a predicted model, not a curated record. Lineage: Eukaryota; Metazoa; Chordata; Actinopteri; Cypriniformes; Xenocyprididae. The transcript is spliced from 4 exons.